RNA transcript from Alnus glutinosa, 2751 nucleotides. It is a transcript of the gene named type IV inositol polyphosphate 5-phosphatase 3, with no coding region annotated. The record is from RefSeq and is a predicted model, not a curated record. The transcript is spliced from 14 exons. Lineage: Eukaryota; Viridiplantae; Streptophyta; Magnoliopsida; Fagales; Betulaceae.
GCAGGAGCAGUGCCGAGAAAUUAGGCGCAGAGAGAGAGAGAGAGAGAGAGAGAGAGAGAGAGAGAGCCGCAUCUUUUCCUACUUCAAAUGUUUUUCGGGAAACUGCUUUUAUAUAUGCAGAAGGAUUUGGCUCAGCUGCUUAAAAAGGCUACCAACUUUAAGGCCAAACAAAGAUUGCCAUGGCAGAGAUGAAGAUCUUUCUUCGCUGAACCACCCAAAGAGCACGGGAAACUACCGUUAUUUGGCAGUAAAGGUGGUUAGCACUCUUUCCUUCUUUCUUUCUUUGUCUUCAAUCCUCUCUUUCUCAGUUGCAAGCUUUGCUACAUUCUUCUUCUUCUUCUUAGUACCAGUUUGUUGUCAAUCUCUGUCUUCACAGACAUGAAGCAACGUUCAAAGUACAACACAGAGAGGAAUAGGGCUGAAAUAUAUUGUUUGGGUUGGUGGUGCGUACAGUUCUUCUGGCCCAGAGUGGUGAUUCGCAAAUGGCUCAACAUCAGCACCGACGACUCCGAAUUCAGCGCCGACGAAGAUGACUUCAAUGAAAAUUCCGGUUCCGAUUCCGAUUCCGAGGCUGAAGGAUUCAGUCAAAGGGGAAGAGAAUUUCGGUGUAGGGGCAACAAAGGGGAUGAUGCUCAGGUUGAUCCUAAUGAUUCUUUCUCAAGGUUAAAAAGAAGAAGAAAAUCAGAGACUUUUAGGGCACAGUAUAUAAACACGGAGGAACUCAGAAUAUGUGCUGGGACUUGGAAUGUUGGAGGGAAACUUCCACCUGAUGACCUAGAUAUUGAUGAUUGGCUAGAUACCAAUGAGCCAGCUGAUAUCUAUGUGCUUGGCCUUCAGGAGAUUGUGCCAUUAAAUGCUGGGAAUGUCUUUGGAGCUGAAGAUGGCCGCCCAGUUCCAAGGUGGGAAAACAUUAUUCGUGAAACACUGAAUCGGAUUCAGCCUAAGGCAACCAAGAUAAAAUGCUUUAGUGAUCCCCCAUCUCCAUCAAAGUUUAAGCCAUCUGAUGAUGCCCCAGAUAUAGAAGAGGAGAUGUUGCUUGAAAGUGAUAGUGAUGUAGGUGAGGAAGUUCACCCAUUCGAUGAAGAACAAAAUGUUUUUGAUGAAAGUGAGGAUAGACCAAUCACAGAGAAAAAUGCGUAUGUGAAUUCUGGAGUUUUAGACUCUUCUCGAAGUGCCAAAUUAGACAUGCCAAGUGAACAAGAGUUAGAGAGGCAAUUUUCUUCUCAAAAGAAGUUGGAUAGGUUAAAUUGUUUACGGACAGAAGAUCCAGAAGAUGUGGAAGCAUUAGUUGCUCGAAGCAGUGGCAAAUUAACCAAAAUGCUUAGUGGGUCUGAAAGGAUUGGUUUGAGCUGGCCAGAACGUCCACUAAACUUGCUAUAUCAACGUGUAUUAGAGCGACCGAAUUCCUUUACAUUAAAUAAAUCUUUUAAAGCAUCCAAGUCUUUCGGACCAUAUAGGUCUUUCAAGUUAACUUCAAAUGAAGUUACGUCACAGAUAGCAUUGCUUGCAGAAAUUGACCUCGAAUUACUCUUGAAGAGGAAACGAAGAUCAUCAUUUGUAAGGAUAGUAAGUAAACAGAUGGUUGGGAUUUUCCUCACUAUUUGGGUUCGCAGGAGCUUGCGUAGACAUAUUCACAACUUAAAGGUGUCUACUGUAGGUGUUGGUGUGAUGGGCUACAUUGGUAACAAGGGAUCAAUAUCUGUCAGCAUGUCCAUCUAUCAGACGCUUUUUUGUUUUAUAUGCACUCACCUGACAUCAGGCGAAAAGGAUGGAGAUGAAUUAAAAAGAAAUGCUGAUGUGCGGGAAAUACAUCGGAGAACUCAUUUUCAUUCGCUUUCUGAUAUUGGGCUUCCCAGGAGCAUCCUUGAUCAUGAAAGAAUAAUUUGGUUGGGUGAUCUCAACUACCGCAUAAACUUGUCAUAUGAGAAAACACGAGAACUUAUCUCCAAAAUGAGGUGGUCCGAGUUGGUUGAGAGUGACCAGCUUGUACGGGAGCUUAGGAAAGGCCGUGCCUUUGAUGGAUGGUCUGAGGGUCCUUUAAAUUUUCCACCGACAUAUAAAUAUGAGAUCAAUUCAGAGAAGUACUACAGAGAGGAUCCAAAGGCUGGGAGGCGUACACCAGCAUGGUGUGAUCGUAUUCUUUCGCAUGGUAAGGGAAUGAGGCUACUGAGUUACAGAAGAACUGAGCUUAAACUUUCGGAUCACCGACCUGUGAUGGCCACAUAUAUGGCUGAGGUUGAGGUGUUUUCUUCUAGGAAACUACAGAAGGCACUCACUUUCACAGACGCAGAGAUUGAAAAUGAGGACAAUAUUGCGGAUAUGGGUACUGAUGUUGGAAUGGGCCGCUUAAGAUUGGAAGAGGACAUAUCUCUAAUUUAGAGUUAAGGGAGGAUUUGACAACACUUUUGAGUGGCUCUGUGUUGGGAUUGGUGAGGAUAUCACCAAAGAUGACAGUGAUCUCGACGCCAUCGCUCUCCUAACACGGGAUAUCAAAAUGAGAGCGGUGGGAGAGCCAUUGAUACAGUAGGGGGAUGAUCAUCCAUGUGAAUCUAUAACAAGUUCCAUGACUGGAAAAUGUUCCUUUGCUUUGCUACUUGCCACCUAGUGGUAGGCAACUUGAGAUCCAUUAUUGCAUAUGAAGAAUGUUCUCAAACUCUUUUCAUCCUUGAUGAAUUUCACAGCCAAUGGAUGUCUUUAUUUAAUUAUAAGGGGCAACUGACUAGACACCCACAAAUGCUCGGCUUCUAUUCA